UACGUAGGUGACCAGCGUUGUCCGGAUUUACUGGGCGUAAAGAGCGCGCAGGCGGUCGUUCAAGUCGAGUGUGAAAGCCCCCGGCUCAACUGGGGAGGGUCACUCGAUACUGAUCGACUUGAAGGCAGGAGAGGGAAGCGGAAUUCCCGGUGUAGUGGUGAAAUGCGUAGAUAUCUGGAGGAACACCGGUGGCGAAGGCGGCGUCCUGGACCAACACUGACACUGAGGAGCGAAAGCCAGGGGAGCAAACGGG
This 253-nucleotide ribosomal RNA is filed under the name uncultured bacterium. RNAcentral describes it as "partial 16S ribosomal RNA". It matches the Rfam family "Bacterial small subunit ribosomal RNA", at positions 524 to 776 of the family's 1533-position model. The record is from RNAcentral.